Long non-coding RNA from Plodia interpunctella (Indianmeal moth), 404 nucleotides. RefSeq lists it as uncharacterized. Lineage: Eukaryota; Metazoa; Arthropoda; Insecta; Lepidoptera; Pyralidae. The record is from RefSeq and is a predicted model, not a curated record. The transcript is spliced from 2 exons.
CCAAGGUAAAGGUACAUUUAAUUCAUUUUGAAAAACCGUUUAUCGAAACCUAAUUUUUCAGGGCUUUCUCAUUGUCCUACUACUAUGUCGCUUCGAGCAGCGGUGAUCCUAAUUGCUUUUGGUCUAUGUCUGCUACUGUUAACAUGCGAGACUGAAGCGCGCCCGCGCCGCCGGCCACCGGGCCGCUCCUCUUGCGCCAAGUCUCUCCGGACCGCAGCCAGGAUCCUCAGAACCGAUGACAAGUCGAGCGACGACGAGAAGAAAGAAAGUAAGAAAGACGCCGACGAUUGUCUGGUCUAUUACUGGCCGUAUUAUUACUACCCGUACUAUUAUUAUUAUUGGGGAUAUCCGGUUUAUUAUUAUUGGGGAUAGACGUGGAUUAAAUAAAAUAAUUUGAUAUAGCA